This 430-nucleotide ribosomal RNA is filed under the name Bacteroidota bacterium. RNAcentral describes it as "Bacteroidetes bacterium partial 16S ribosomal RNA". It matches the Rfam family "Bacterial small subunit ribosomal RNA", at positions 355 to 776 of the family's 1533-position model. The record is from RNAcentral. Lineage: Bacteria; Pseudomonadati; Bacteroidota.
UAGGGAAUCUUCGGCAAUGGGGGGAACCCUGACCGAGCAACGCCGCGUGCGUGAAGAAGGUUUUCGGAUCGUAAAGCUCUGUUGUUAAGGAAGAACGAGUGUGAGAAUGGAAAGUUCAUACUGUGACGGUACUUAACCAGAAAGGGACGGCUAACUACGUGCCAGCAGCCGCGGUAAUACGUAGGUCCCGAGCGUUGUCCGGAUUUAUUGGGCGUAAAGCGAGCGCAGGCGGUCAAUUAAGUCUGAUGUGAAAGCCCCCGGCUCAACCGGGGAGGGUCAUUGGAAACUUGUUGACUUGAGUGCAGAAGAGGAGAGUGGAAUUCCAUGUGUAGCGGUGAAAUGCGUAGAUAUAUGGAGGAACACCAGUGGCGAAGGCGACUCUCUGGUCUGUAACUGACGCUGAGGUUCGAAAGCGUGGGUAGCAAACAGG